Molecule: ribosomal RNA, 216 nt
Filed under: Glomeromycotina sp.
Lineage: Eukaryota; Fungi; Glomeromycota
Description: partial small subunit ribosomal RNA
Rfam family: Eukaryotic small subunit ribosomal RNA (bases 40-216)
Source: RNAcentral
GGGUCAGUAGGUUGGUCGUGCCACCGGUACGUACUGGUCUCACUGAUUCCUCCUUCCUGAAGAACCGUAAUGCCAUUAAUUUGGUGUUGCGGGGGAACAGGACUGUUACUUUGAAAAAAUUAGAGUGUUUAAAGCAAGCUAACGCUUGAAUACAUUAGCAUGGAAUAAUGAAAUAGGACGAUCGAUCCUAUUUUGUCGGUUUCUAGGAUUGACGUA